CCUACGGGAGGCAGCAGUGAGGAAUAUUGGUCAAUGGACGAGAGUCUGAACCAGCCAAGCAGCGUGAAGGAUGACUGCCCUACGGGUUGUAAACUUCUUUUAUAUGGGAAUAAAACGUUCCACGUGUGGGAUUUUGUAUGUACCAUAUGAAUAAGGAUCGGCUAACUCCGUGCCAGCAGCCGCGGUAAUACGGAGGAUCCGAGCGUUAUCCGGAUUUAUUGGGUUUAAAGGGAGCGUAGGUUGAUUGUUAAGUCAGUUGUGAAAGUUUGCGGCUCAACCGUAAAAUUGCAGUUGAUACUGGCAGUCUUGAGUACAGUAGAGGUGGGCGGAAUUCGUGGUGUAGCGGUGAAAUGCUUAGAUAUCACGAAGAACUCCGAUUGCGAAGGCAGUUCACUGGACUGCAACUGACACUGAGGCUCGAAAGUGUGGGUAUCAAACAGGAUUAGAUACCCGAGUAGUC
This 460-nucleotide ribosomal RNA is filed under the name uncultured bacterium. RNAcentral describes it as "partial 16S ribosomal RNA". It matches the Rfam family "Bacterial small subunit ribosomal RNA", at positions 338 to 795 of the family's 1533-position model. The record is from RNAcentral.